UGGGGAAUUUUGGACAAUGGGCGAAAGCCUGAUCCAGCAAUGCCGCGUGUGUGAAGAAGGCCUUCGGGUUGUAAAGCACUUUUGUCCGGAAAGAAAUGGCUCUGGCUAAUACCUGGGGUCGAUGACGGUACCGGAAGAAUAAGGACCGGCUAACUACGUGCCAGCAGCCGCGGUAAUACGUAGGGUCCAAGCGUUAAUCGGAAUUACUGGGCGUAAAGCGUGCGCAGGCGGUUGUGCAAGACCGAUGUGAAAUCCCCGAGCUUAACUUGGGAAUUGCAUUGGUGACUGCACGGCUAGAGUGUGUCAGAGGGGGGUAGAAUUCCACGUGUAGCAGUGAAAUGCGUAGAGAUGUGGAGGAAUACCGAUGGCGAAGGCAGCCCCCUGGGAUAACACUGACGCUCAUGCACGAAAGCGUGGGGAGCAAACAGG
This 429-nucleotide ribosomal RNA is filed under the name Bacillota bacterium. Its description in RNAcentral is "Firmicutes bacterium partial 16S ribosomal RNA". It matches the Rfam family "Bacterial small subunit ribosomal RNA", at positions 355 to 776 of the family's 1533-position model. Lineage: Bacteria; Bacillati; Bacillota. The record is from RNAcentral.